RNAcentral lists this small RNA (107 nucleotides) under Marmota monax (woodchuck). The record is from RNAcentral. Lineage: Eukaryota; Metazoa; Chordata; Mammalia; Rodentia; Sciuridae.
GCUAGGUGCAGUGGUGCACACCUAUAAUCCCAGUGACUUGGGAGACUAAGGCAGGAGGAUCACAGAGUCAAGGAUAGCCUUGGCAACUUAGUGAGACCCUGUCUCAA